CUAUAACCUCGGGAGUGUGAGGUACGACAGCUGUCGUCAGCAGCAGUGUUGCAACAGCAUCUGGAGGAACACUGGCGUGGCCUUGGAAUCUUGUGGUGACAGAUGCAGAACCCUGGGCACUGCUUCGGGCACCUGCGUGUUGGUGAACGAGUGCGUGAGGCUCGAACGAGUGUUCCUCGUGACAAACGCAGCUGGGGAUGUGGGACGCACUACCAAGUUCCUUCUGGACCAUCGGUGUGAUACCAGAGCUGGCGGUAUUCACGUAUGUUGCCCGACAGCAUAAGAGAAAAGGGAAUUAAAUAACAGGUUGAUUGAUAAAUAAAAGAUAGACCUUUAUUUAGGGUUUGUCCUAAGAAGAUAAACGGUUUGGUUGUGCUUUGUUUUACAUUAAUAUUAUUGCACUAAUAUCUUACUAAUUAAAUGUAGUAUGGAAACGAAUACUGUUUUUCGUGUAUCUUUUUUGAAACGAUGAUUUAGGACUUGUAUGUAGUUGAAUAAAGAAAAUUAUUGAUA
This 513-nucleotide long non-coding RNA is filed under the name Penaeus japonicus. RNAcentral's name for it is "uncharacterized LOC122248432". The record is from RNAcentral. Lineage: Eukaryota; Metazoa; Arthropoda; Malacostraca; Decapoda; Penaeidae.